This 293-nucleotide long non-coding RNA is filed under the name Hordeum vulgare. RNAcentral's name for it is "long non-coding RNA (HVUL_LNC005499)". The record is from RNAcentral. Lineage: Eukaryota; Viridiplantae; Streptophyta; Magnoliopsida; Poales; Poaceae.
GAUAAUGUGGGAGAGUGCUUGGCCACCUCGAAGAGCACCUACAUGUUUUCAGGGAGAAGAAAACGCCUGAAAAAAUUAUGUAUUAGUCGAUUAUCACAGCAUGAUCGUGCCGCCAUCUGUUCAUCUAACUUCUUCCUUCUGCAUGCCUCAACCGCCGCCGCCACUCCCCAUGGCCGACGGACGUUGUCUUGGCCCACCGCUAUUCGCGAUCAUCUCUCUAAGGCCCGUUGAUCUAUAGCAACACCGACAACCCCUCCACCCCCACGGCCCGCUUCCUCGCCUUUGCUUGGGAC